RNAcentral lists this ribosomal RNA (449 nucleotides) under uncultured bacterium. RNAcentral describes it as "bacterial SSU rRNA". It matches the Rfam family "Bacterial small subunit ribosomal RNA", at positions 330 to 795 of the family's 1533-position model. The record is from RNAcentral.
ACCAGACUCCUACGGGAGGCAGCAGUGGGGAAUAUUGCACAAUGGGGGAAACCCUGAUGCAGCGACGCCGCGUGAGUGAAGAAGUAUUUCGGUAUGUAAAGCUCUAUCAGCAGGGAAGAAGAAGGACGGUACCUGAGUAAGAAGCCCCGGCUAACUACGUGCCAGCAGCCGCGGUAAUACGUAGGGGGCAAGCGUUAUCCGGAUUUACUGGGUGUAAAGGGAGCGUAGACGGCCAUGCAAGCCUGGAGUGAAAGCCCGGGGCCCAACCCCGGGACUGCUCUUGGAACUGCGUGGCUGGAGUGCAGGAGGGGCAGGCGGAAUUCCUGGUGUAGCGGUGAAAUGCGUAGAUAUCAGGAGGAACACCGGUGGCGAAGGCGGCCUGCUGGACUGCAACUGACGUUGAGGCCCGAAAGCGUGGGGAGCAAACAGGAUUAGAUACCCUUGUAGAU